RNAcentral lists this ribosomal RNA (310 nucleotides) under uncultured bacterium. RNAcentral describes it as "partial 16S ribosomal RNA". It matches the Rfam family "Bacterial small subunit ribosomal RNA", at positions 503 to 807 of the family's 1533-position model. The record is from RNAcentral.
AAGAGACAGCAGUAGCCGCGGUAAUACAGAGGGUGCGAGCGUUAAUCGGAUUUACUGGGCGUAAAGCGUGCGUAGGCGGCUUUUUAAGUCGGAUGUGAAAUCCCUGAGCUUAACUUAGGAAUUGCAUUCGAUACUGGGAAGCUAGAGUAUGGGAGAGGAUGGUAGAAUUCCAGGUGUAGCGGUGAAAUGCGUAGAGAUCUGGAGGAAUACCGAUGGCGAAGGCAGCCAUCUGGCCUAAUACUGACGCUGAGGUACGAAAGCAUGGGGAGCAAACAGGAUUAGAUACCCGAGUAGUCCCUGUCUCUUAUAC